This 22-nucleotide microRNA is filed under the name Ananas comosus (pineapple). Its description in RNAcentral is "microRNA s0501_c66a". The record is from RNAcentral. Lineage: Eukaryota; Viridiplantae; Streptophyta; Magnoliopsida; Poales; Bromeliaceae.
CACCAUAGGGUCUACUAUUUUC